UAGGUUUCUUGAAAAGGCUAUUUAUUAAAG
Molecule: non-coding RNA, 30 nt
Filed under: Rattus norvegicus (Norway rat)
Lineage: Eukaryota; Metazoa; Chordata; Mammalia; Rodentia; Muridae
Source: RNAcentral